GAUGAACGCUGGCGGCGUGCCUAAUACAUGCAAGUCGAGCGAACAGACGAGGAGCUUGCUCCUCUGACGUUAGCGGCGGGCGGGUGAGUAACACGUGGAUAACCUCCCUAUAAGACUGGGAUAACUUCGGGAAACCUGAGCUAAUACCGGAUAAUAUAUUGAACCGCAUGGUUCAAUAGUGAAAGACGGUUUUGCUGUCACUUAUAGAUGGAUCCGCGCCGCAUUAGCUAGUUGGUAAGGUAACGGCUUACCAAGGCAACUAUGCGUAGCCGACCUGUGAGGGUGAGCGGCAACACUGGAACUGAGACACGGUCCAGACUCCUACGGGAGGCAGCAGUAGGGAAUCUUCCACAAUGGGCGAAAGCCUGACGGAGCAACGCCGCGAGAGUGAUGAAGGUCUUCGGAUCGUAAAACUCUGUUAUUAGGGAAGAACAAAUGUGUAAGUAACUAUGCACGUCUUGACGGUACCUAAUCAGAAAGCCACGGCUAACUACGUG
Molecule: ribosomal RNA, 497 nt
Filed under: uncultured bacterium
Lineage: Bacteria
Description: partial 16S ribosomal RNA
Rfam family: Bacterial small subunit ribosomal RNA
Source: RNAcentral